This 253-nucleotide ribosomal RNA is filed under the name uncultured bacterium. RNAcentral's name for it is "partial 16S ribosomal RNA". It matches the Rfam family "Bacterial small subunit ribosomal RNA", at positions 524 to 776 of the family's 1533-position model. The record is from RNAcentral.
UACGUAGGGUGCGAGCGUUAAUCGGAAUUACUGGGCGUAAAGCGUGCGCAGGCGGCUUUGCAAGACAGAUGUGAAAUCCCCGGGCUCAACCCGGGAACUGCAUUUGUGACUGCAAGGCUAGAGUACGGCAGAGGGGGAUGGAAUUCCGCGUGUAGCAGUGAAAUGCGUAGAUAUGCGGAGGAACACCGAUGGCGAAGGCAAUCCCCUGGACCUGUACUGACGCUCAUGCACGAAAGCGUGGGGAGCAAACAGG